GCUUUAUAAAUAACUUAGAUUUAAUUAAUUUAUACCAUAAAAAUUAAAUUUAAUUAUUUUAUUUUAUUGGGGUGAUGUGAAUAUAAAUUUUAUUAACUGUUUAAUUGGAAUACUAUUAUAAUAGAUUUAUUAUAUAAAUGAUCCUUUUUAAAGAUUAAAAGAUUAAGUU
This 169-nucleotide ribosomal RNA is filed under the name Liomera caelata. RNAcentral's name for it is "partial 16S ribosomal RNA". The record is from RNAcentral. Lineage: Eukaryota; Metazoa; Arthropoda; Malacostraca; Decapoda; Xanthidae.